Molecule: ribosomal RNA, 253 nt
Filed under: uncultured bacterium
Lineage: Bacteria
Description: partial 16S ribosomal RNA
Rfam family: Bacterial small subunit ribosomal RNA
Source: RNAcentral
GACAGAGGGGGCGAACGUUGUUCGGAAUUACUGGGCGUAAAGCGCGUGUAGGCGGCAGCGCAAGUCGGGCGUGAAAUCCCACGGCUCAACCGUGGAAGUGCACUCGAAACUGCGCAGCUAGAGUCCUGGAGAGGAAGGUGGAAUGCUUGGUGUAGAGGUGAAAUUCGUAGAUAUCAAGCGGAACACCGGUGGCGAAGGCGGCCUUCUGGACAGUGACUGACGCUGAGACGCGAAAGCGUGGGGAGCAAACAGG